RNAcentral lists this ribosomal RNA (729 nucleotides) under actinobacterium TP297. RNAcentral's name for it is "bacterial SSU rRNA". It matches the Rfam family "Bacterial small subunit ribosomal RNA", at positions 382 to 1123 of the family's 1533-position model. The record is from RNAcentral. Lineage: Bacteria; Bacillati; Actinomycetota; Actinomycetes.
CCUGAUGCAGCGACGCCGCGUGAGGGAUGACGGCCUUCGGGUUGUAAACCUCUUUCAAUAGGGACGAAGCGUAAGUGACGGUACCUAUAGAAGAAGCACCGGCCAACUACNUGCCAGCAGCCGCGGUAAUACGUAGGGUGCGAGCGUUGUCCGGAAUUACUGGGCGUAAAGAGCUCGUAGGUGGUUUGUCGCGUUGUUCGUGAAAACUCACAGCUUAACUGUGGGCGUGCGGGCGAUACGGGCAGACUGGAGUACUGCAGGGGAGACUGGAAUUCCUGGUGUAGCGGUGGAAUGCGCANAUAUCAGGAGGAACACCGGUGGCGAAGGCGGGUCUCUGGGCAGUAACUGACGCUGAGGAGCGAAAGCGUGGGGAGCGAACAGGAUUAGAUACCCUGGUAGUCCACGCCGUAAACGGUGGGUACUAGGUGUGGGUUUCCUUCCUUGGGAUCCGUGCCGUAGCUAACGCAUUAAGUACCCCGCCUGGGGAGUACGGCCGCAAGGCUAAAACUCAAAGAAAUUGACGGGGGCCCGCACAAGCGGCGGAGCAUGUGGAUUAAUUCGAUGCAACGCGAAGAACCUUACCUGGGUUUGACAUGCACAGGACGCCGGCAGAGAUGUCGGUUCCCUUGUGGCCUGUGUGCAGGUGGUGCAUGGCUGUCGUCAGCUCGUGUCGUGAGAUGUUGGGUUAAGUCCCGCAACGAGCGCAACCCUUGUCUCAUGUUGCCAGCA